This 383-nucleotide long non-coding RNA is filed under the name Ictidomys tridecemlineatus (thirteen-lined ground squirrel). RNAcentral describes it as "lncRNA (ENSSTOG00000032277.1)". The record is from RNAcentral. Lineage: Eukaryota; Metazoa; Chordata; Mammalia; Rodentia; Sciuridae.
GAUGUGACUUCUAAAUAUUUAUUGAAAUGUACAAAUGUGUUUUCUCUUAAAGGAUUGCAGAAAAGGAUAAGCAGAUAAAACAGACUGAAGACUCUUUAGCAAAUGAACAUGAUCAUUUAGCAAGUAAAGAGGAAGAACUUAAGGAUAUACAGAAUAUGAAUUUCUUAUUAAAAGCUGAAGUACAGAAAUUACAGGCCCUGGCAAAUGAGCAGGCUGCUGCAGCACAUGAAUUAGAGAAGAUUCAAAAAAGUGUUCAUAUUAAGGAUGAUAAAAUACGAUUGCUGGAAGAGCAGCUACAGUGUGAAAUUUCAAACAAAAUUGAAGAAUUUAAGGUGUGUGAUUAAACUUUUACACUGUUUUCUUAGAAUAGCCUUGUGUAAUUU